UACGAAGGGGGCGAGCGUUGUUCGGAUUUACUGGGCGUAAAGGGCGCGCAGGCGGCUUAUUUUGUCAGGCGUGAAAGCCCCGGGCUUAACCUGGGAACUGCGUUUGAUACGGAUGGGCUAGAGUUCGGGAGAGGAGCGUGGAAUUCCCAGUGUAGAGGUGAAAUUCGUAGAUAUUGGGAAGAACACCGGUGGCGAAGGCGGCGCUCUGGACCGAGACUGACGCUGAGGCGCGAAAGCCAGGGGAGCAAACGGG
This 253-nucleotide ribosomal RNA is filed under the name uncultured bacterium. Its description in RNAcentral is "partial 16S ribosomal RNA". It matches the Rfam family "Bacterial small subunit ribosomal RNA", at positions 524 to 776 of the family's 1533-position model. The record is from RNAcentral.